Lynx canadensis (Canada lynx) is the source of this 197-nucleotide long non-coding RNA. RefSeq lists it as uncharacterized. The transcript is spliced from 2 exons. Lineage: Eukaryota; Metazoa; Chordata; Mammalia; Carnivora; Felidae. The record is from RefSeq and is a predicted model, not a curated record.
UCCAUCCAUCCCUGCUGAGGUCCUGACAAGGCAAACAACAAAAUGGGAAACAGCUACGUCCAGAGAGGCCAGAAAAUUGUACACCAGGGACCACACACUGAAAAGCAAAGCUCCAGCUGAAGCCCCUCACAUGUAUGAUGAAGUGUUGGAAAUAAAGUCGCCCUUUGGACAUUUACCUUUAUUUAAUCAAGAUGUAG